GAUGAAGAACGUAGUGAAAUGCGAUAAGUAAUGUGAAUUGCAGAAUUCAGUGAAUCAUCGAAUCUUUGAACGCACAUUGCGCCCGCCAGUAUUCUGGCGGGCAUGCCUGUUCGAGCGUCAUUACAACCCUCAAGCCCCCCGGCUUGGUGUUGGGGACCGGCCACCGGUGCCCUGCUGCUUCCGCGGCAGGCGCACCCGGCCGCCCCCGAAAUGAAUUGGCGGCCCCGUCGCGGCCUCCCUCUGCGUAGUAGCACACAUCUCGCAGCUGGAGCGCGGCGCGGCCACUGCCGUAAAACGCACCAACUUUUUUUACAGUUGACCUCGAAUCAGGUAGGAAUACCCGCUGAACUUAAGCAUAUCAAUAAGCGGAGGA
Molecule: unclassified non-coding RNA, 373 nt
Filed under: soil metagenome
Description: partial contains 5.8S ribosomal RNA, internal transcribed spacer 2, and large subunit ribosomal RNA
Rfam family: 5.8S ribosomal RNA (bases 1-120)
Source: RNAcentral